This 428-nucleotide long non-coding RNA is filed under the name Crocodylus porosus (Australian saltwater crocodile). RNAcentral's name for it is "lncRNA (ENSCPRG00005013895.1)". Lineage: Eukaryota; Metazoa; Chordata; Crocodylia; Crocodylidae. The record is from RNAcentral.
GACAUUUCCUUGUUCUUAAGAAUCCCUUGAAUUUCAUAUUUUCUGUCUCCCAAGGAACAGCAACGAGAGAGAUCCUUCUGGGAGGAAUCAUCAUCUUGUACUCAGAGCUGUGACCAGGAAUAGGGCAACUUGAACUCCGACUUACUUCACUGUGCCUCAGCUUCCCAGUCAUAACCUUGGGGUCCCAGUUGUUCCCUGCAGAUGUGUCAGCAAUAGAAGUUUCUCAGCAAGUCUCAGCAGAGAUGAAAACUUCAGCAAAACACGCAGAAAGAGCUGUCUAAAAAGUAUAAAAAAUGGAGUGUCCAUGUAGCUGCUCCUGAGGUCUCUGGAAGUUGCAGUCCAGAAAUACAGCAGCAGGACUCUGCAGGGUUGCUCAUCACCUCCUCCUCCUGCUUCCAGGUACCUCUGGGAUUUGUGGUCCACAGUUG